This is a non-coding RNA of Hippopotamus amphibius kiboko, 72 nucleotides long. Lineage: Eukaryota; Metazoa; Chordata; Mammalia; Artiodactyla; Hippopotamidae. The record is from the annotation of a RefSeq genome assembly.
GGUUCCAUGGUGUCGUGGUGAGCACUCUGGACUCUGAAUCCAGCGAUCCGAGUUCGAGUCUCGGUGGGACCU